UACGGGGGGAGCAAGCGUUGUUCGGAUUUACUGGGCGUAAAGGGCGCGUAGGCGGUCGUGACAAGUCACUUGUGAAAUCUCCGGGCUUAACUCGGAACGGUCAAGUGAUACUGUCGGACUAGAGUGCAGAAGGGGCAACUGGAAUUCUCGGUGUAGCGGUGAAAUGCGUAGAUAUCGAGAGGAACACCUGCGGCGAAGGCGGGUUGCUGGGCUGACACUGACGCUGAGGCGCGAAAGCCAGGGGAGCGAACGGG
This 254-nucleotide ribosomal RNA is filed under the name uncultured bacterium. Its description in RNAcentral is "partial 16S ribosomal RNA". It matches the Rfam family "Bacterial small subunit ribosomal RNA", at positions 524 to 776 of the family's 1533-position model. The record is from RNAcentral.